GACGAACCGUGCGAACGUUAUUCGGAAUCACUGGGCUUAAAGCGCGUGUAGGCGGGAUGGUGCGUCGACUGCUGAAAUCCCCCGGCUUAACCGGGGAACGGGCAUCGAUACGGCCAUCCUGGAGGAACGUAGGGGGACCUGGAACUUCCGGUGGAGCGGUGAAAUGCGUUGAGAUCGGAAGGAACGCCCGUGGCGAAAGCGAGGUCCUGGACGUUUUCUGACGCUGAGACGCGAAAGCUAGGGGAGCGAACGGGAUUAGAUACCCCGGUAGUCCUAGCCGUAAACGAUGGGCACUGGGUAGGGGGCUCGCCGAUGGGCUCCCUGCCGUAGGGAAACCGUGAAGUGCCCCGCCUGGGGAGUAUGGUCGCAAGGCUG
RNAcentral lists this ribosomal RNA (375 nucleotides) under uncultured prokaryote. RNAcentral describes it as "bacterial SSU rRNA". It matches the Rfam family "Bacterial small subunit ribosomal RNA", at positions 524 to 896 of the family's 1533-position model. The record is from RNAcentral.